AAAGGAAUAGACGGGGGCCCGCACAAGCGGUGGAGCAUGUGGUUUAAUUCGACGCAACGCGAAGAACCUUACCUGGGCUUGAACUGUCGGCGACGGCGGCGGAGACGCCGUUUCCCGCGAGGGCGCCGGCAGAGGCGCUGCAUGGCUGUCGUCAGCUCGUGUCGUGAGAUGUUGGGUUAAGUCCCGCAACGAGCGCAACCCUUGCCCCUAGUUGCCAGCGGGUAGUGCCGGGGACUCUAGGGGGACCGCCCGGGUCAACCGGGAGGAAGGUGGGGAUGAUGUCAAGUCCUCAUGGCCCUUAUGUCCAGGGCUACACACGUGCUACAAUGGGCGGCACAGACCGGAGCGGGGCCGCGAGGCCGGGCGAAUCGGUGAAAGCCGCCCUCAGUUCGGAUUGCAGCCUGCAACUCGGCUGCAUGAAGUUGGAAUCGCUAGUAAUCGUGCAUCAGAACGGCACGGUGAAUACGUUCCCGGGCCUUGUACACACCGCCCGU
This 494-nucleotide ribosomal RNA is filed under the name uncultured bacterium. RNAcentral describes it as "bacterial SSU rRNA". It matches the Rfam family "Bacterial small subunit ribosomal RNA", at positions 903 to 1397 of the family's 1533-position model. The record is from RNAcentral.